This 670-nucleotide ribosomal RNA is filed under the name alpha proteobacterium IMCC14825. Its description in RNAcentral is "bacterial SSU rRNA". It matches the Rfam family "Bacterial small subunit ribosomal RNA", at positions 28 to 743 of the family's 1533-position model. The record is from RNAcentral. Lineage: Bacteria; Pseudomonadati; Pseudomonadota; Alphaproteobacteria.
AACGUACGCUGGCGGCACGCCUAACACAUGCAAGUCGAACGAAGUAGCAAUACUUAGUGGCAGACGGGUGAGUAACAUGUAGGUAUCUGCCCUUUGGCCUGGAAUAACACGAGGAAACUUGUGCUAAUACCGGAUAAGUCUUUACGGAGAAAGCUUUAUGCACCAUUGGAUGAGCCUGCACUUGAUUAGUUUGUUGGUGGGGUAAUGGCCUACCAAGACUGUGAUCAAUAGCUGAUUUGAGAGGAUGAUCAGCCACAUUGGGACUGAGACACGGCCCAAACUCCUACGGGAGGCAGCAGUGGGGAAUCUUGCACAAUGGAGGAAACUCUGAUGCAGCGAUGCCGCGUGAGUGAAGAAGGCCUUUGGGUUGUAAAGCUCUUUCGUCGGGGAAGAAAAUGACUGUACCCGAAUAAGAAGGUCCGGCUAACUUCGUGCCAGCAGCCGCGGUAAUACGAAGGGACCUAGCGUAGUUCGGAAUUACUGGGCUUAAAGAGUUCGUAGGUGGUUGAAAAAGUUAGUGGUGAAAUCCCAGAGCUUAACUCUGGAACUGCCAUUAAAACUUUUCAGCUAGAGUAUGAUAGAGGAAAGCAGAAUUUCUAGUGUAGAGGUGAAAUUCGUAGAUAUUAGAAAGAAUACCAAUUGCGAAGGCAGCUCUCUGGCUCAUUACUGA